Astatotilapia calliptera (eastern happy) is the source of this 2092-nucleotide long non-coding RNA. The record is from Ensembl. Lineage: Eukaryota; Metazoa; Chordata; Actinopteri; Cichliformes; Cichlidae.
UGUAACAUUAACGAUACCCAGUUGUUUUUCACUUCAAUGACUGCAGCUUGUAAUAGCUUCAGUUUAACUCUUUAAGAUCUGCUCUGAAGAAGAGGAAUGAUAUUGAUAUCCUUUGUCAUUGUGCCUGCUGCAUAUAAGUUGAUGGCACUAAAAAAAAUAAAAUGCGAUUUUUGAAAGUUCUUUGAGUUGAAUGAGAAGGUGCAUUGUGCUCUUAAGCUGUCCCAUGAGUAAACUUGUGAAGUUGUUUUUCUGACUGUGGUAAAUGUGUACUUUUACAUCAACACGAUUGCUACAAAGAUGCUGUUUCAUUUCAUUGCUCAAAUUCUUACCAAAACCUUUCCUUUGAUAGCCAUUUCCAUUGUUCAAUAAAGCAAUAUUUGCUUUAAUCAAGUUUUUUUUUUUUUUUCUUUUUCCCAACGAUACUGACCAUUUUUGUCACUGUGGAGGCAGCAACUACUGGUUAAAAUGUAAUGUUAUAGUUAAAUUCCAAUGUUAGGGUGAAAUUCACAUGCAAUACAUGAACAUGCAUUAAUGUGUCAAAUACAACACAUCCACAAGAAUUAAAAAUCACUUACACUUAAGCCACCUGCAGCUUAGCUUAACGGAAAAGUUGCAAGUCACACUUUCUUCGAGUGGAGAUGUAAUGACUAAAAGGUUACCAGCACUUCUGUAACUAAAAAAAACUGUGUUUUCUAAUUUAAUUGCUACAUAAACCUACAUAAAAUGUAGGUGGAACUAUUUGUCACAAUCAAGCUGCAGCCUUCAGGUUUUAAAAAUGAACACAACUUGGAGCUGUGGCAAAGUGCUGGAUUCUGUAGAAGCAUGAAGUUAAGGGCAUCUCUGAGGCAUCACCUCUGCUAAUGCUAGUCACUGGAGGCCUUGAGGCGACUUUUGUUGUGAUUUGGCACUAUAUAAAUAAAAUUGAAUUGAAUUGGAACUUUCCCCUGCAUUUGUCUUUUAGGGCUUGAAAUUUAUCUGACAAAUAAUAUCACCUGCUUUGUGGGACAGGCCAUCCAAGAAGUGGGUAUUUGAAAUUCUAGUAUUUUCUUUAAAACUUUGUUUUCUCGGGCUCUUAUUUGGUACUAAUAAGCAUUGCACUUGCACAGGUUAUGGAUGCAGCUUGCUAAGCAGCUUGCUAGCUUUAAUAAUCUUAUGCCCAAAACCAGUGGGUACCAUCAGGACAGCUGUGUCCACCUUUUAUAUGCAAUGUAUUCCCAACUGCAUCUUACUGUCUGAACAACUAAAAUGUUGUGAUUGGAAUCCCCAAACCAGACUGCAUUUGUACAUUUUCAUCAUACAGAAUGGUGGUAGGUAGGAUAUUUAGCUUGUAAUCAUAAGGAAGAAAAAACAAGUUCACCCAUUAAGAGAAUAUCUAACUUUCAUAAAAUCCAUUCAUGAUUUAUCUGGGCAUUAAUAGCUCUGAGUAUACUGGAUAUGAUAUUGGGACAGAGCUAUGCUACAUGUUUCCUAGCUUGUGCUAAGCUAACAGACAUUCAUGAUCGAGUCUCAUCAUCAAGGAGAAAGAAAAUCAUAUGGCCAUUCUCUCAUAUUCAUCUCUCUAGACUAAAACAUUAUAGUGUUUUGACUAUCUUCUGCCUUCCAUUGUCCUACAGAGUUUGUGUUUAAUUGCAGUGUUGAUGGAGUCAGUUUCUGCCCUCAGCUUUGUGUCAGACUCUUGUUUGAUUGCCAUAAUGGCAUUUCUAACAUAGGGCAUUCCUUUUUGUUAUCAAAUGGUUAUGAGAAGCUGCUUCUAGCAAAGUUUUGUGAUUGCCAAAAUGUUCAAUUCAACAUGCCCUGAAAGGAACAACAGGGAUUAUAUCCUUGUUUGCUUGUGCUGUGCUUAAAGUGUUUUUUGUGGUUCAAAAAUGCCUGGAUUCACAACAGGUCUUGAGCAUGGUGAUAUUGUGCAGAAGUGUUGGAAAAGCAUAGAAUAAAGUGCUGUUCAGUCCUGAUGCAUAUGACUGGUCUUUUUUGUUGUUGUUCCCUAAAUUUGGUUUUAUUUUAUUGUUUUAAUGAAUGUGGUUAGAUGUGAACUCCCUGUUUUCUUACAUAACUCGAGUUUGGACUCCAACACCAUCUUUUUUGUCAAGGA